This 72-nucleotide transfer RNA is filed under the name Bombus consobrinus. RNAcentral's name for it is "tRNA-Trp". Lineage: Eukaryota; Metazoa; Arthropoda; Insecta; Hymenoptera; Apidae. The record is from RNAcentral.
AAGAUUUUAAGUUAUUCAAACCAUUAAUCUUCAAAAUUAAUUAUAUAAAUCCUUAUUGAUUUAUAAAUCUUA